CCUACGGGAGGCAGCAGUGAGGAAUAUUGGUCAAUGGACGAGAGUCUGAACCAGCCAAGUAGCGUGAAGGAUGACUGCCCUAUGGGUUGUAAACUUCUUUUAUAAAGGAAUAAAACGAGGCACGUGUGCCUUUUUGCAUGUACUUUAUGAAUACGGAUCGGCUAACUCUGUGCCAGCAGCCGCGGUUAUACGGAGGGUCCGAGCGUUAUCCGGAUGUAUUGGGUUUAAAGGGAGCGUAGGUGGUUUGUUAAGUCAGUUGUGAAAGUUUGCGGCUCAACCGUAAAAUUGCAAUUGAUACUGGCAGUCUUGAGUACAGUUGAGGUAGGCGGAAUUCGUGGUGUAGCGGUGAAAUGCUUAGAUAUCACGAAGAACCCCGAUUGCGAAGGCAGCUUACUAGACUGUGACUGACAUUGAUGCUCGAAAGUGUGGGUAUCAAACAGGAUUAGAUACCCCAGUAGUC
RNAcentral lists this ribosomal RNA (460 nucleotides) under uncultured bacterium. Its description in RNAcentral is "partial 16S ribosomal RNA". It matches the Rfam family "Bacterial small subunit ribosomal RNA", at positions 338 to 795 of the family's 1533-position model. The record is from RNAcentral.